GCGGAGGAAAAGAAACCAACAGGGAUUGCCUUAGUAGCGGCGAGUGAAGCGGCAAAAGCUCAAAUUUGAAAUCUGGCUCUUUCAGAGUCCGAGUUGUAAUUUGAAGAAGGUAUCUUUGGGUCUGGCUCUUGUCUAUGUUUCUUGGAACAGAACGUCACAGAGGGUGAGAAUCCCGUGCGAUGAGAUGAUCCAGGCCUAUGUAAAGUUCCUUCGAAGAGUCGAGUUGUUUGGGAAUGCAGCUCUAAGUGGGUGGUAAAUUCCAUCUAAAGCUAAAUAUUGGCGAGAGACCGAUAGCGAACAAGUACAGUGAUGGAAAGAUGAAAAGAACUUUGAAAAGAGAGUGAAAAAGUACGUGAAAUUGUUGAAAGGGAAGGGCUUGAGAUCAGACUUGGUAUUUUGUAUGUUACUUCUUCGGGGGUGGCCUCUACAGUUUAUCGGGCCAGCAUCAGUUUGGGCGGUAGGAGAAUUGCGUUGGAAUGUGGCACGGCUUCGGUUGUGUGUUAUAGCCUUCGUCGAUACUGCCAGCCUAGACUGAGGACUGCGGUUUAUACCUAGGAUGUUGGCAUAAUGAUCUUAAGUCGCCCGUCUUG
Molecule: ribosomal RNA, 590 nt
Filed under: Candida tropicalis
Lineage: Eukaryota; Fungi; Ascomycota; Pichiomycetes; Serinales; Debaryomycetaceae
Description: LSU rRNA
Rfam family: Eukaryotic large subunit ribosomal RNA
Source: RNAcentral